Molecule: long non-coding RNA, 1797 nt
Organism: Equus asinus (donkey)
Lineage: Eukaryota; Metazoa; Chordata; Mammalia; Perissodactyla; Equidae
Source: Ensembl
CCUCUCUUGGAUGUGAUGCUGGUCGCCGAACCCAUUUCCUCUGUUUCUCUGACGCUCGUACCAAAGCCGUGGAGGAGCAAAAUUGCUCAGCCGUGUGCUGGGGUUGCUGCCAAGUGCAGCCAUGUGGGCGAGGGUGCCGCUGAGCUGCUGACUCGAUCGUUUCGGUAAAGGGUUAUCCUCAGCCUUUCCGCCCAUGCAGCCCCCGACUGGGGACCGAGCAGAGACGGCGACCAGUUGACAAGGCCCAGUGCUCCGGUGGCGGGCUGGCCCCGUGAGAGAGAUGUGUGAAGGAAUCUGGCAACAGAGAUUUCCGAUUCCACCCUGACGCUUCCUAGGGGCGUGAUCUUUCAUGCACAUGGUCAUCAGCCAUGUUAGGCACUGGGGACACAGUGAUGAAGACACAGUCCAGGCCUUGAACGGGUCCACAGCCUCUUUGGAGGAUGGUGAGAUAUGCUCUUGGAAGUUAGGAACUGAAGAAUGAGCAGCAGUUUACCAGGUGGAGCAGGUUGGGGGAAACUGGACUGGGAAGACGUGAAGAUUCUAACUGGCCAAGGGACCUAGUGUUGUCAGAAUUCCGUUCUUGAUUUUCUGGUCACAGAGGAGGCAGAUAACAUGGCAUUACUACCUGGGGCUUCAGUCCCAAUGCCCACCAGCCGUAGAAUGCCCGGAAACGCUGCCUCUAAACUAUGGCGUUCUUCUCUCCUUUGACACGGCUCAGCAGCCUUGAGCAAAAUCAGACCUAUUUUCACCCCAAAGCCCAAACCCCAAACCCCAGUUGCAGCUCUUACAACUCCCAUUUGGUCAAAUGCCUUGCCCAACAGCCCUAGAAGAAAAGGAGCAGGCGAGCUGUUUAAUCCAGUAACCAAAGGAACCUUCCGAGGCUGCCUUGCAGGCCAAGAAGAAACAGGCGAGAGGGCCAGGUCGGGCCCUGGGCUGCCUCACCUUGCCAGUUAAGGGGUGCAAAAGAAAGGGCGGACCACGUCCAUGUGUGCUGUCAUCUUCAUCUCUGAAAAUUUCCAUCCUCCAGCAAUCGUCAGGAAGAGAAAUGAGCAUGAUGGGUUUAGGAAACCGCAAGUUUAAAAGGGCUGGAGUGCAGCCUGGGUGAUGAGUAGAAAGUUAAGAGGAGGCCAGAAGACCAUGAAGAGUCUCGAAUGCCACGUUGAGGCAUUUGAACCUAACGCAGCUUGGUUUGCAAAUUUUGAGGGGGCAGGAGGUAGAGAGACGACAGAGAUGAUUAGAAAAUCCUGAAUGAGUCCUUUCCUGAAAAAUUGUUGCACAACAAUAGACUUCUAAUAGUAUGAAAACCAAAAGAAGAGCAAGAUAGUCUCGGCUACACCACAGAAGAAUACGGUGCAGCCUGUGCGACUGAAGCCCUCCAGGGCAUUUCUAAACUAAAGUUGUCACCACAUUCACUGAUGUGACCUUGUCUCCCUGUACCUGAGCUGUCACCCAGGGGCCAGAGAAGAGUAAUCACUGAACUCCUACAAGAAUUCCUGCGGAACAGAAGGACCAGAUGCUGUCCUUCUGGCAUGCUGUUUCUUACCUUGGACCUUUCUGUGGUUCUCAAUCUUGUCCACACAUUGGACUCAAAUUGAAAUGAUGUUGGAAUCCUCCACCACAAUGGAUACAACAGUGGAAAAGAACAAAACAUGCUGCACAAACGUGGAUGAAUCGCUCUGACACAAUGGUGAAGGGAAGAAGCCAGACACAAAAGAGCCCACAUGGACCUGGCAGAUAUUCUGACCUGUUCCUUCAUCCCUCAAGUGUACAGGACAUCAGCGAUCACCUGGAGCUGAG